RNAcentral lists this ribosomal RNA (434 nucleotides) under uncultured bacterium. RNAcentral describes it as "partial 16S ribosomal RNA". It matches the Rfam family "Bacterial small subunit ribosomal RNA", at positions 29 to 507 of the family's 1533-position model. The record is from RNAcentral.
AUGAACGCUGGCGGUAUGCUUAACACAUGCAAGUCGAACGGACUCUUCGGAGUUAGUGGCGGACGGGUGAGUAACGCGUGAGAAUCUGGCUUUGGGUUCGGGACAACCACUGGAAACGGUGGCUAAUACCGGAUGUGCCGAGAGGUAAAAGAGAAAUUGCCUGCAGAUGAGCUCGCGUCUGAUUAGCUAGUUGGUGAGGUAAAGGCUCACCAAGGCAGCGAUCAGUAGCUGGUCUGAGAGGAUGACCAGCCACACUGGGACUGAGACACGGCCCAGACUCCUACGGGAGGCAGCAGUGGGGAAUUGUCCGCAAUGGGCGAAAGCCUGACGGAGCAAUACCGAGUGAGGGAAGAAGGCACUUGGGUUGUAAACCUCUUUUCUUAGGGAAGAACAAAAUGACGGUACCUAAGGAAUCAGCAUCGGCUAACUCCGUG